Molecule: small nucleolar RNA, 109 nt
Organism: Capsicum annuum
Lineage: Eukaryota; Viridiplantae; Streptophyta; Magnoliopsida; Solanales; Solanaceae
Source: RefSeq, a predicted model, not a curated record
GUCUAUUGGUGAUGGGGCAAUCCCUAAGAAGAUAUUUGAACCUCUCCCAAGCAUAAUAUAAAUUCUCAUCAAUCUUAUGCUUAAAGCUCAAAAUUUAACUGCAUAACCU